Molecule: ribosomal RNA, 43 nt
Filed under: Begonia formosana
Lineage: Eukaryota; Viridiplantae; Streptophyta; Magnoliopsida; Cucurbitales; Begoniaceae
Description: partial 28S ribosomal RNA
Source: RNAcentral
GCGAACACAGGUGAGGUGGGAUAACCCGCUGAGUUUAAGCAUA